Molecule: non-coding RNA, 429 nt
Organism: Eptesicus fuscus (big brown bat)
Lineage: Eukaryota; Metazoa; Chordata; Mammalia; Chiroptera; Vespertilionidae
Source: the annotation of a RefSeq genome assembly
AUGGCCAGUCUUGUCCUGCCUGAAUCUUCCAGUGGCCCUUGGCUCCUCUGCUGCUUGGCUCUCUGUCUCCUGGGGGCGGGUUCCGUGGCUGCUGGAGUCACCCAGUCCCCAAGACAUGUAAUCAAAGGCCAUGGGGGGAAGGCCGUUCUGAAGUGCCACCCCAUCUCCGGACACAGAAGUGUGUACUGGUACCAGCAGGCUCUGGGACAGGGCCCCAAGUUCCUCAUUGAAUAUUUUGAAAAAGAGGAGAGAGAAAAGGGGAGCAUCCCUGAUCGGUUCUUAGGAAAACAGUUCAGUGACUACAGCUCUGAGCUGUCCAUGAGCGCCUUGCAGCUGGGAGACUCGGCCGUGUAUCUCUGUGCCAGCAGCUUAGACACAGCCCUGCAGGGUCCAUGGCUUUCUGCACGCAAACCUCCCUGCCCCAGAUGA